RNAcentral lists this long non-coding RNA (355 nucleotides) under Androctonus crassicauda. The record is from RNAcentral. Lineage: Eukaryota; Metazoa; Arthropoda; Arachnida; Scorpiones; Buthidae.
GACGCAUCGAAAAGAGACAGACGACGAUACGUCGUAUAGUCAUAUCAAACCUGUGGACUCCUGUUCCCGACAACAAUAAGUUACCUAAGCCGAAAGAUAAAAUGUAAGACAAACGUAUUGAAUUAUAUAUACUACGUCAUUUUCUUGGCAAUGACAAACAUUCUGUUUUCCCUAAAAAGGGAAAAAUAUAGAAUAGAAGAAUUGAAACCAAGAUAUAUAAGAUCUUUAGCUCGACUCCAAAGGGGGAGUUGGUUAAAGAUUGUAGGUACGUCUUGCGGCGUCACGGCAUUUCUGCCAAGAAGUUCACCGUUUGCCUCCAUCGUGCACUAUCACCCUUCACCUCGACUACUACUUG